GUUAGGAAUAUUGGACAAUGGGCGCAAGCCUGAUCCAGCCAUGACGCGUGAGUGAUGAAGGCCUUCGGGUUGUAAAGCUCUUUAGUCCACGAAUAUAAUGACUGUAGUGGAAGAAUAAGCCCCGGCUAACUUCGUGCCAGCAGCCGCGGUAAUACGAAGGGGGCGAGCGUUAUUCGGAAUCACUGGGCGUAAAGCGUGCGUAGGCUGUUUUGUAAGUCAGAAGUGAAAGCCCAGGGCUUAACCCUGGAAUUGCUUUUGAAACUACAAGACUCGAAUUCGGGAGAGGAUAGCGGAAUUGUCAGUGUAGCAGUGAAAUGCGUAGAUAUUGACAGGAACACCAGUGGCGCAAGCGGCUAUCUGGACCGAUAUUGACGCUGAGGCACGAAAGCGUGGGGAGCAAACAGGAUUAGAUACCCCUGUAGUCC
Molecule: ribosomal RNA, 425 nt
Filed under: uncultured bacterium
Lineage: Bacteria
Description: partial 16S ribosomal RNA
Rfam family: Bacterial small subunit ribosomal RNA
Source: RNAcentral